CCUACGGGCGGCAGCAGUGGGGAAUAUUGGACAAUGGGGGCAACCCUGAUCCAGCCAUGCCGCGUGUGUGAAGAAGGCCCUCGGGUUGUAAAGCACUUUCAGUGAGGAAGAACGCCUGGUGGUUAAUACCCAUCAGGAAAGACAUCACUCACAGAAGAAGCACCGGCUAACUCCGUGCCAGCAGCCGCGGUAAUACGGAGGGUGCGAGCGUUAAUCGGAAUUACUGGGCGUAAAGCGCGCGUAGGUGGCUUGAUAAGCCGGUUGUGAAAGCCCCGGGCUCAACCUGGGAACGGCAUCCGGAACUGUCAAGCUAGAGUGCAGGAGAGGAAGGUAGAAUUCCCGGUGUAGCGGUGAAAUGCGUAGAGAUCGGGAGGAAUACCAGUGGCGAAGGCGGCCUUCUGGACUGACACUGACACUGAGGUGCGAAAGCGUGGGUAGCAAACAGGAUUAUAUACCCGAGUAGUC
Molecule: ribosomal RNA, 465 nt
Filed under: Vreelandella stevensii
Lineage: Bacteria; Pseudomonadati; Pseudomonadota; Gammaproteobacteria; Oceanospirillales; Halomonadaceae
Description: partial 16S ribosomal RNA
Rfam family: Bacterial small subunit ribosomal RNA
Source: RNAcentral